GACGAACGCUGGCGGCGUGCCUAAUACAUGCAAGUUGAGCGCUGAAGGUUGGUACUUGUACCGACUGGAUGAGCAGCGAACGGGUGAGUAACGCGUGGGGAAUCUGCCUUUGAGCGGGGGACAACAUUUGGAAACGAAUGCUAAUACCGCAUAAAAACUUUAAACACAAGUUUUAAGUUUGAAAGAUGCAAUUGCAUCACUCAAAGAUGAUCCCGCGUUGUAUUAGCUAGUUGGUGAGGUAAAGGCUCACCAAGGCGAUGAUACAUAGCCGACCUGAGAGGGUGAUCGGCCACAUUGGGACCGAGACACGGCCCAAACUCCUACGGGAGGCAGCAGUAGGGAAUCUUCGGCAAUGGACGAAAGUCUGACCGAGCAACGCCGCGUGAGUGAAGAAGGGUUUCGGAUCGUAAAACUCUGUUGGUAGAGAAGAACGUUGGUGAGAGUGGAAAGCUCAUCAAGUGACGGUAACUACCCAGAAAGGGACGGCUAACUACGUG
Molecule: ribosomal RNA, 497 nt
Filed under: uncultured bacterium
Lineage: Bacteria
Description: partial 16S ribosomal RNA
Rfam family: Bacterial small subunit ribosomal RNA
Source: RNAcentral